RNAcentral lists this long non-coding RNA (193 nucleotides) under Macaca mulatta (Rhesus monkey). Its description in RNAcentral is "lncRNA (ENSMMUG00000064041.1)". Lineage: Eukaryota; Metazoa; Chordata; Mammalia; Primates; Cercopithecidae. The record is from RNAcentral.
UGGCAGGAGACCUCCCCUACAAAGCCCUAUUGACCAGAAGAGUCCCAUUGCGUGGAUUCCAUCCACCAUGAAAGCCUGCCAGAGCGUAUCUGAAAUGAAGCUCCAAACUCCCAAAGGUUUGCAGGAUCGGAGGAGCAACUCAAGUUGGCAUUUGGUUUGCAGUCCCAGAAGUGGAAUUACUGGAUCAACCAGU